Molecule: small nucleolar RNA, 124 nt
Organism: Corylus avellana
Lineage: Eukaryota; Viridiplantae; Streptophyta; Magnoliopsida; Fagales; Betulaceae
Source: RefSeq, a predicted model, not a curated record
AUCAAUUCUGGGGGAUAAAUAGUUCCUCUUGGUAUAAUGGCUUGGGCGCUAUAUUUAUCAAUGUGGCUAUCCUGAUGAGUGGUUUUUUCAAUGCCAUUUGAUCCUGGAAACACCACACACAUUU